This 99-nucleotide transfer RNA is filed under the name bacterium. Its description in RNAcentral is "tRNA-OTHER". The record is from RNAcentral. RNAcentral also lists the same sequence under 1 other name.
AGGCCGUGUAUUUGCUAGGAAAGUAAGUAUUUGAGAUGACUGCGCCGGAUUUAGGAUCCGGUUCCCUCGGGAGUGAAGGUUCGACUCCUUUCGCGCGUA